AGACCCGAAACCCGGUGAUCUAGCCAUGGGCAGGUUGAAGGUUGGGUAACACUAACUGGAGGACCGAACCGACUAAUGUUGAAAAAUUAGCGGAUGACCUGUGGCUGGGGGUGAAAGGCCAAUCAAACCGGGAGAUAGCUGGUUCUCCCCGAAAGCUAUUUAGGUAGCGCCUCGUGAAUUCAUCUCCGGGGGUAGAGCACUGUUUCGGCUAGGGGGCCAUCCCGGCUUACCAACCCGAUGCAAACUGCGAAUACCGGAGAAUGUUAUCACGGGAGACACACGGCGGGUGCUAACGUCCGUCGUGAAGAGGGAAACAACCCAGACCGCCAGCUAAGGUCCCAAAGUCAUGGUUAAGUGGGAAACGAUGUGGGAAGGCCCAGACAGCCAGGAUGUUGGCUUAGAAGCAGCCAUCAUUUAAAGAAAGCGUAAUAGCUCACUGGUCGAGUCGGCCUGCGCGGAAGAUGUAACGGGGCUAAACCAUGCACCGAAGCUGCGGCAGCGAACGUAUCACCCAAGACAACUUUACGGAGUUGACGAUUGACGGAGCGAAGCGACGUCAAAGCGUUCAUUAAAGUCGAGUUGGCUUAGGGAUACGUUCGUUGGGUAGGGGAGCGUUCUGUAAGCCUGUGAAGGUGUGUCGUGAGGCAUGCUGGAGGUAUCAGAAGUGCGAAUGCUGACAUAAGUAACGAUAAAGCGGGUGAAAAGCCCGCUCGCCGGAAGACCAAGGGUUCCUGUCCAACGUUAAUCGGGGCAGGGUGAGUCGACCCCUAAGGCGAGGCCGAAAGGCGUAGUCGAUGGGAAACGGGUUAAUAUUCCCGUACUUGGUGUUACUGCGAAGGGGGGACGGAGAAGGCUAUGUUGGCCGGGCGACGGUUGUCCCGGUUUAAGCGUGUAGGUGUGUGUUCCAGGUAAAUCCGGUUCACUUUAACACUGAGGCGUGACGACGAGGCACUACGGUGCUGAAGCAACAAAUGCCCUGCUUCCAGGAAAAGCCUCUAAGCAUCAGGUAACAUCAAAUCGUACCCCAAACCGACACA
RNAcentral lists this ribosomal RNA (1037 nucleotides) under Salmonella enterica. RNAcentral describes it as "partial 23S ribosomal RNA". It matches the Rfam family "Bacterial large subunit ribosomal RNA", at positions 711 to 1661 of the family's 2925-position model. The record is from RNAcentral. Lineage: Bacteria; Pseudomonadati; Pseudomonadota; Gammaproteobacteria; Enterobacterales; Enterobacteriaceae.